CUGGCUCAGGAUGAACGCUGGCGGCGUGCCUAAUACAUGCAAGUCGAGCGAACAGAUAAGGAGCUUGCUCCUUUGACGUUAGCGGCGGACGGGUGAGUAACACGUGGAUAACCUACCUAUAAGACUGGGAUAACUUCGGGAAACCGGAGCUAAUACCGGAUAACAUAUUGAACCGCAUGGUUCAAUAGUGAAAGGCGGCUUUGCUGUCACUUAUAGAUGGAUCCGCGCCGUAUUAGCUAGUUGGUAAGGUAACGGCUUACCAAGGCAACGAUACGUAGCCGACCUGAGAGGGUGAUCGGCCACACUGGAACUGAGACACGGUCCAGACUCCUACGGGAGGCAGCAGUAGGGAAUCUUCCGCAAUGGGCGAAAGCCUGACGGAGCAACGCCGCGUGAGUGAUGAAGGUCUUCGGAUCGUAAAACUCUGUUAUCAGGGAAGAACAAAUGUGUAAGUAACUGUGCACAUCUUGACGGUACCUGAUCAGAAAGCCACGGCUAACUACGUGCCAGCAGC
RNAcentral lists this ribosomal RNA (514 nucleotides) under Staphylococcus sp. RNAcentral's name for it is "bacterial SSU rRNA". It matches the Rfam family "Bacterial small subunit ribosomal RNA", at positions 19 to 515 of the family's 1533-position model. The record is from RNAcentral. Lineage: Bacteria; Bacillati; Bacillota; Bacilli; Caryophanales; Staphylococcaceae.